This 396-nucleotide ribosomal RNA is filed under the name Dictyocha sp. Its description in RNAcentral is "partial small subunit ribosomal RNA". It matches the Rfam family "Eukaryotic small subunit ribosomal RNA", at positions 582 to 975 of the family's 1831-position model. Lineage: Eukaryota; Dictyochophyceae; Dictyochales; Dictyochaceae. The record is from RNAcentral.
AUUCCAGCUCCAAUAGCGUAUAUUAUUGUUGUUGCAGUUAAAAAGCUCGUAGUUGGAUUUCUGAUGGGAUCGACCCGGUCGGCUCCGAAAGGGGACGCACUGGUGGUCUGUCCGGUCAUCCUCGAGGGGAGGCUUUCUGGCAUUCAUUUGUUGGGGAGUCGACGCUCGUCGUUUACUGUGAAUAAAUUAGAGUGUUCAAAGCAGGCUUAGGCCGUUGAAUACAUUAGCAUGGAAUAAUAAGAUAGGACUUUGGUAGUUUAUUUUGUUGGUUUGCACGCCGAAGUAAUGAUUAAUAGGAGCAGUUGGGGUUGUCCGUAUUCGACUAUCAGAGGUGAAAUUCUUGGAUUUAUUGAAGACGAACUACUGCGAAAGCAUUCAUCAAGGAUAUUUUCAUUA